This is a long non-coding RNA of Amphimedon queenslandica, 527 nucleotides long. RefSeq lists it as uncharacterized. The transcript has 4 exons. NCBI's taxonomy places the organism in Eukaryota, Metazoa, Porifera, Demospongiae, Haplosclerida, Niphatidae. The record is from RefSeq and is a predicted model, not a curated record.
AGUGGUGGUACUUCAUUAUUGAGUGGUGGUACUUCAUCAUUGUGUGGUGAUACUUCGUCGUUGUGUGGUAGUACUUCGUCGUUAAGUGGUGGUAGUGCUUCGUUAUUGUGUGGUAGUGGCCAAUCAGCGUGUGAUGCUCGCCCCGCCUAUGGUAGGCGUGUUUUCUGUAAAGAGACAAGAUGGUGCCGGAUGAAGUUAACCAAGUUUAUCCAGUUUAAAGAGGUUUAAUGCCCUUGUGUAAUUCCUUAGAUGUAUGGGGGAUUUAAAACACUCAUUUUGAGUUUAUUCAUCCAUUACACUACACGGGCCAACAGUGGAGACAGUGUGUUAUCUCCUUGUGGGUGUUGUUGGCCAAGAGCUUCUUCAAGGAGUUGUUCUGGGACCAUACAAGGGGAAAAGAGACUGAGUGGCCCAGAGAGAGACCUGAUAAAGAGAAAGGGAUUGUAUAACUAAUGUCAAUGUGUAUAAUGGUGAUUUUUUAAACAUUAAAAAUGAUGUUUUGAGCAAGUAGAAACAUUGUAGCAACC